RNAcentral lists this long non-coding RNA (3760 nucleotides) under Helianthus annuus (common sunflower). RNAcentral describes it as "hypothetical non coding rna". The record is from RNAcentral. Lineage: Eukaryota; Viridiplantae; Streptophyta; Magnoliopsida; Asterales; Asteraceae.
UUUAAUUGUUUUUCUCCCCCAUUAGUUUCAUCGAGGAAAACAAUGCAGGAUUUCAUCGAGACACUCGACGUCGGUGAAACAACCACUGCCAAUUCGAAAGGUCGCAGCUUUAUCUAAUUCGUUAACGAAAACCCGGGCGAUGAUUUUCGUCUGCGACUAGGGCUCCAACAGGUAUGUCAUGAAGAAGAUUAGAUUGAGCAAGCAAACAGAGAUGUUUAAGAAGACAUCACAUCAAGAGGAUCAUGUGCGGUCGCUGCAAAAACCGAGUGCUUAUGUUCAGAUUGUGAUAAUCGAGGUAUGUUGCAGUUGGAAACGAACCGUUUCUAAAAGCAUAUAACGCAACUUACCUGCAAAUCACAUUACCGGCUUUAAAAAAUGUCCAAAAUGCCCUUAACCAGGUUGGGUUAGGGUUCGAGAUCAAAAGUCUAGGCUUGAAUCGGAACCAAAGCAACUGAGGAUAGCAACCUCAAAUCUCAACAGUACAACAAAAUACAAAGUGAGGUCUAAAUUUUGAUUUGUUAUAUUCGAUUUUGUUGUCUCCUCAUUAGUUUGCAUACAAAGAUGGGGCUACGAAUCCAGUCAUGGCGAAUUCUCGGGUCACAUGACAGGUCAAAAUUAUCUCAGAAAGUGGCUGCCAACCAGGGUCUAAGUUGCUCUUAAAUGAGUCAAAAUUGUCUAACAAAGGGGUUACCUAUCAGGAACAGAAGUAAAAGGCUACUAAUCAUAUAGCAAAACCGAUGAUGGAGAAAGUAUGAAAGAAAUUCAACUUCAAUAGCAUUUCAUUGUGUUUUUUUUAAUACCAUUUUGAGAAUUGUUGGAUCCUAUAUUAUAACCAUCAACUUACAUAUCUUGGUAUGACAUGAACUAAUAUUGUGUUUUUAUUAUUCAUCUCCUCAAUUAUUGUUUUUACAUAUGCAGUUUCGGUUUGGUCUUUUGCGCAGUUUAUUUCCUCCAGGUAUGUUUUUAACUUUUUUUUGGAGCUUAGUGUUUAGUUAGUCUUUUUUUUGUGUUGUAGCUUUAUAAUUUGAAUUAGGUUUGUCAUUAUUAGUGAUUGUUAGUUUUAUGGUUCAUGUAGUCUGUAGAUGGUAUGGCGUAGGUUUUUUUCAAGGAUUAUAGGCUUUAUUUUACUUUAUAUUUGACCACAUGAAUCUUCUUCAAAGUGAUUCGUGUAGAAAAAGAGGUCGUCCUGCCUACUCUACUUUAGGUUAAUGUGCAAGCUCGGGUUCCUCACCGGGGAAUAACACCAAUUGUUUAGAAUCAUUAUCGUCUAAACGUUUUUUCCUUCUUGAAAAAAAUAAAUGUCCAGUUGAUGCUUAUCCUAAUCCCCUAUCUUGUGUUAAUGCGGUUGUACAAACUUCUAGCGUUUGUAGUUCGUCUAUUUCUACGUGCAUUGAGCAUCAUUCACAGUUUUCUAUAUUCUUUUCUUUGUACGUUGAUGUUGGUGAUUGUCGUUUUGUCUGCGAGUUUUGCGGGGCACUUUUUUAGUUUGACGAACGUUUAAAAUCUUUCUCGGCUAGCCGUGGCAUUAGGUAUACGGGUUGUUGUAACAAUGGUUGUGUAGUUCUUCCAAGGCCAUCAGAUCCUCCAGAUUGCAUAAAGGAGCUUUUUGAAUCAUAUGAGUUUCAUAAAAACAUUCGUGCAUAUAACUCAAUGUUUGCGAUGGCAUCCUUUGGGGCCACCGUAUAUGAGUCUGUUAAUCUUACACCUGACCCUUAUGUGUUCAAAAUAAGUGGUCAAAUUUGUCAUCACAUCGGUUCUUUUUGUCCACCAUCUAACUGUCGUACAUGCUUUCUUCAAAUGUGUAUCUAUGAUACUGAAUACGAGCUUCAAAAUAGGCUUGGAUGUUUUGGUGACCAUGGUUCGUCUUCUCUGGAUGAGGAAGUUGUGCUUCUGUUGAUGCGUACAGUUGAUGAAAGUAAUGCAUUAGUUAAAUUGUUUCGUACCGCUCGUGACAUUUGUUGUUCGUCUAACGUUCCAAAUUUUGUAUAACGUCUCCGAGAUACGUUAUUAUACACCGGUUGUAGGAACUAUAGGGGGUAUUGUGUGUCAAUUUGAUGACAGAUCAUCAGAUUACGAUAUAAUUAUUCGUAUGAAAGAUGGCAUACCUCAAAGGGUUAGUAAACUGCAUCAUCAAUACAUGUCCUUACAGUACCCCCUAUUGUUUUUGUUUGGUGAACAUGGUUGGUCUCCUUCACUGCCUUUAGCCGGUGACGAAAGUCGUAGCGACAGACGAUUAACUACGGGUAUGUUUUACAGUUAUCACCUUCAUGAUCUAUUCAAUACACAUACUCAUUUGCUUAGAGGUGGACGUCUUUUCCAACAAUUUUUGGUUAACGCGUAUGUGUGUAUCGAGCAAAAUAGAUUAGAGUACAUACAAUCGCAUCAAGAUCUGUUUAGGGGUGAAUAUUUGCAGGGGAUUCAUGAUGCGAUAACGCGUGGUGACAUGAUUGGUCAUGAUAUCGGUAAACGCACCAUUUUGUCUUCCUCAUUUACCGGAGGACCUCGGUAUAUGUAUAAAAUUACCGAGAUGCGUUAGCCAUUUGCCGUGUUCAUGGUAAUCCACAACACUUCAUAACGUUCACGUGUAAUGCUAAGUGGCCAGAGAUGGAAUGGAAAUGAGAAACUGAUUGAAACUUGCUAAAUGGUUAUUUUUCUUAUCAUACGGAGGUAUUAUUUGGUGUGUUUAGUUUCAUGAAGGAAAUUUAAUACAUUAUAUGCUUUGUAUUAUAUCCUGUUGGGGUUCAAAAUUAAUUUUUGAGCAUAUCUAAUGGCCAGAUUGUUUUGUUAGGAAUAAAACAAAAGGUAUGUGAUAUAUGUUGAUGAACUGCUUUUCGGGAAAGGAAAACGGCAUAACCAAACAAUUUAGGGAUUUAAUGUUGAAGACCGAGUGAUCAAGAAGGGUGAAGUUAAAUCAAACAACGCCUUUGAACUUAGGGAGUGAUAUGUAAGACAAGAUUUGAUAUAAUCUUAGAGAUGCAUUAGUCGGAAUUUUUUUUGCGAAUGGUGAUAUUUAAGUUUCUUUUCUAGUUAAAGAACAACUAGCAAAGAUACAAACCAGUUAUAGAAUAUAGUCAUCCAAAACAUGUUUUAUUAGUUGUAACUUAUGCUUUGUUGAUAUUCUUAUAUUUUGUUUCUUUUCUCACAGUGUAUUGCUUCUUGAUGCACUAGCUUUUGUGUAGGGAUAAUGUAUGUUGCUUGCUUUAUGUGUUGUACUAUUUUGCUACUCUUUUAAAAUAAAUUUCAUAAGACUAUAUAUCUGCUUUGUUUACAUAUAUAUUUUCCUUAUAAGUCAACUUUGAUAGUUGAUGUAGGUAAUUAAAUGCAUUGUGACAUUUGAUUUCAUUCUUUACGUUAACCAUAAGUCGUAACCGAAUUCUUAGUGUUGUUUUCGUCAAUAUUAUUUGUUUUGUUCUGUGAAGUUCACGAAAAUUAGCACUAUAUUUCAAUAUAUUACUAAUAAUUUUUUUUGCAUAUAUUUUGUUUAGUUGGAUGGCAUGAUAUAAUUCAAGUCGAACAUAUUUCGUUAGGUGAUGAUUGUUUAUUCAAUUGGUCAAAAACGAAUUCGAGGUUAUUGGUUACGAGGCUUCAACAAGCAGAAGUAUUACAGUAAUAGGCUUUCAAUUUAUAUUUCAAAAAAGAAAAACGUAUUUCCUUCGUUUACUUAUCUUUUUUGGUUAUUUUAUAUCUAUAGUACAUUGGUUUGUUGUAUAUUCAUCGUGAACUUCGGAUUUCCAUGAUAAGUACAUGCGUACAGUUUCUU